This is a long non-coding RNA of Canis lupus familiaris (dog), 1735 nucleotides long. RefSeq lists it as uncharacterized. Lineage: Eukaryota; Metazoa; Chordata; Mammalia; Carnivora; Canidae. The record is from RefSeq and is a predicted model, not a curated record. The transcript is spliced from 6 exons.
UUCUUCCUCUGUAUCAUAAACACAAAACAAGUGUUUAAACGUCUGCCUCAAAGGCAAUCUGGGAAGCAGAGCGACUCUUACAUAAAGACCAGAUGAAGCCCACGCUCGCCAGAAGGGCCAUCUGGAUGCUGGCUCUGCCACCCUUCCUUCUCGCCCUCCGCUUGGGAACCGCUGUGAGCACGUAAUUAAGGACUGUGAUGAGGAGCUGGAGAGAGCAGCCUGGUGGGGAGCCUCGUGCAGGUUAACUGCCCAGUUGCCCUGGCCUUGGGUGGCCACUGCUGCAAGCCAGGCUCCCCCUCCCUUCCCUUCCACCUCCCAGCGCCACGGUCCUCCCCCACUGGGGUCCUGGCAGCAGAGGAGGAGCCCUGCUGGCAAAGAAGCUGCAGGAGAGUGGGGCCACCGCACAGAGACGGUGACUCCCCCAGACACUGGGGACACACAGCCUGGGUGUGGAUCUCAGCACCACUACUUCCCGCCUUUAACUGAGUAGCCCUCGGAUCACGGCGUAUGGCCAUUUAUACAGACGUCCGUCCGUCCUAGAACAGAGCCUGGCAAACGAUUUUGUUACUUUUGGCCGAAGAAUAUUCAGAGACAUGUGAUAGCCAGAGUCAGUUACAAACUUGAACUGAAUUUCUCUGCAUAAAAAUGUAUGGCCUGCAAAGGUCAUCUUACAAAUGGGAUGACAGGCGCAGCGCAGCGACCGCCACGUCAGCGUGAUGGCUGUGCCAAGGUGUCACGUGAGCCCAAGAACCCAGAAAACCAAAUCAUAAGAGCUGGUGCUUCAUUCAAGGACCGCUUUACAACGGAUGCUUCUCUAAGUACUUUAAGAGUCAAUUACUGGGGCACCUGGGUGGCUCAGUGGGUGAGCAUCUGCCUUCGGCUCAGGGCAUGAUCCUGGGGUCCUGGGAUCGAGUCCUGCAUUGGGCUCCCCGCAGGGAGCCUGCUUCUCCCUCUGCCUGUGUCUCUGCCUCUCUGUGUGUCUCUCAGGAAUAAAUAAAUAAAAUCUUGAAAGAAAAAAAAAAAGAGACGAUGACAAGUGGAUCCUCCCAACAACUCUGAGGAAGGCGCUCAUUCCCAUCCCAAAUGCCAGUGCAGAAAUGACUCUCAGCAUGACAAACAACAUGUGGACCGAAGACCAAACCAGAGCAUGUGUGGAAUCGUGUGAAGUAAGCUGGUGUGUUCUUUGACACUCAGAACAGUUGCUCUUACUUAAGAACAACGCUGCUUCCCAAAGUUGCCUCCAAGGAAAACAUGGUAGUGAACAAGGACAAUCCUGAGAAAGGGAGUGAGUACCUGGCAAAGGCUCUACUGAUGGAAGCCUACCUUCCUCAGGAACUGGGUGCAGCCGAGAAUACUAGAGCUCUAAUUUCAGUUGUUUAAACCACAUGGGGCUGACAUGACACCUCCAUGAGGUCUUCAGAGACUCAAGAACCUUGGGUUUUUCUGCUCUGCCAUCCUCGGUGUGUGGCUUAUACCCUCAGGGUCAAAUCAUGGCCCUGGAUGGCAGCUGGAGAUCCAGUCAUCACAACUAUGUUCCAAGCAAGAAGGAGAAGGAAGAAGGAAAAGACAAGAAGGCUGUUCUCUUCCUAAGGAUACUUCUGAGCAGUUCCACUCAAAAAACAAAUGUUUUGGGGGAGCUUGGGUGGCUCAGUGGUUUAGCACUGCCUUUAGACCAGGGCCUGAUCCUGGGACCUGGGAUCGAGUUCCACAUUGGGCUCCCUGCACAGAGCCUGCU